GUGGGUACCUGCCCCUUGGUCCGGAAUAGCUGCGGGAAACUGCAGGUAAUGCCGGAUAACAUCCUCGGAUCAAAGGUGUGAUUCCGCCGAGGGAGGGGCCCGCGUUCUAUUAGCUAGUUGGUAGGGUAAUGGCCUACCAAGGCGACAAUGGAUACCGGGUGUGAGAGCAUGACCCGGCUCACUGGGACUGAGACACUGCCCAGACACCUACGGGUGGCUGCAGUCGAGAAUCUUCGGCAAUGGGCGCAAGCCUGACCGAGCGACGCCGCGUGCGGGAUGAAGGCCUUCGGGUUGUAAACCGCUGUCAGUGGGGAGGAAAUGCCAUGGGGUUCUCUCCAUGGUUUGACCUAUCCGCAGAGGAAGGACGGGCUAAGUUCGUGCCAGCAGCCGCGGUAAGACGAACCGUCCAAACGUUAUUCGGAAUUAUUGGGCUUAAAGGGUGCGUAGGCUGUGCAGUAAGUUGGGUGUGAAAUCCCUCGGCUCAACCGAGGAACUGCGCCGAAUACUGCUGUGCUA
This 516-nucleotide ribosomal RNA is filed under the name uncultured Planctomycetota bacterium. Its description in RNAcentral is "bacterial SSU rRNA". It matches the Rfam family "Bacterial small subunit ribosomal RNA", at positions 117 to 643 of the family's 1533-position model. Lineage: Bacteria; Pseudomonadati; Planctomycetota. The record is from RNAcentral.